GGAAGAAUACUUCGUAAAGAAAGUACAAUACCGGGUUCUGGAGUGACUGAAAAAUAAAAUUAGGGAGCCAACCCUAGAUGUGGAUGAUGCAAACGAAAACAGUAGUACACUUUGUAAACCCUACACUCUUAUUUGUUCAAUCACAUUAAUCUCGUAUCCAAAUUUGUAUGCCGCAACCUUUUUCUUGAUUUUCAUCAAAGGAAAUCUCAUCAUGAUCUGGGAG
This 223-nucleotide long non-coding RNA is filed under the name Prunus persica (peach). RNAcentral describes it as "long non-coding RNA (PPER_LNC006991)". The record is from RNAcentral. Lineage: Eukaryota; Viridiplantae; Streptophyta; Magnoliopsida; Rosales; Rosaceae.